RNAcentral lists this ribosomal RNA (253 nucleotides) under uncultured bacterium. RNAcentral describes it as "partial 16S ribosomal RNA". It matches the Rfam family "Bacterial small subunit ribosomal RNA", at positions 524 to 776 of the family's 1533-position model. The record is from RNAcentral.
UACGAAGGGGGCGAGCGUUGUUCGGAUUUACUGGGCGUAAAGGGCGCGCAGGCGGCCAUUCAAGUCAGGCGUGAAAGCCCCGGGCUUAACCUGGGAGGUGCGUCUGGGACUGGGUGGCUGGAGAUCGGGAGAGGAGAGUGGAAUUCCCAGUGUAGAGGUGAAAUUCGUAGAUAUUGGGAAGAACACCGGUGGCGAAGGCGGCUCUCUGGACCGAUACUGACGCUGAGGCGCGAAAGCUAGGGGAGCAAACAGG